GUUUGAUCCUGGCUCAGGACGAACGCUGGCGGCGUGCCUAAUACAUGCAAGUCGAACGAACUCUGGUAUUGAUUGGUGCUUGCAUCAUGAUUUACAUUUGAGUGAGUGGCGAACUGGUGAGUAACACGUGGGAAACCUGCCCAGAAGCGGGGGAUAACACCUGGAAACAGAUGCUAAUACCGCAUAACAACUUGGACCGCAUGGUCCGAGUUUGAAAGAUGGCUUCGGCUAUCACUUUUGGAUGGUCCCGCGGCGUAUUAGCUAGAUGGUGGGGUAACGGCUCACCAUGGCAAUGAUACGUAGCCGACCUGAGAGGGUAAUCGGCCACAUUGGGACUGAGACACGGCCCAAACUCCUACGGGAGGCAGCAGUAGGGAAUCUUCCACAAUGGACGAAAGUCUGAUGGAGCAACGCCGCGUGAGUGAAGAAGGGUUUCGGCUCGUAAAACUCUGUUGUUAAAGAAGAACAUAUCUGAGAGUAACUGUUCAGGUAUUGACGGUAUUUAACCAGAAAGCCACGGCUAACUACGUGCCAGCAGCCGCGGUAAUACGUAGGUGGCAAGCGUUGUCCGGAUUUAUUGGGCGUAAAGCGAGCGCAGGCGGUUUUUUAAGUCUGAUGUGAAAGCCUUCGGCUCAACCGAAGAAGUGCAUCGGAAACUGGGAAACUUGAGUGCAGAAGAGGACAGUGGAACUCCAUGUGUAGCGGUGAAAUGCGUAGAUAUAUGGAAGAACACCAGUGGCGAAGGCGGCUGUCUGGUCUGUAACUGACGCUGAGGCUCGAAAGUAUGGGUAGCAAACAGGAUUAGAUACCCUGGUAGUCCAUACCGUAAACGAUGAAUGCUAAGUGUUGGAGGGUUUCCGCCCUUCAGUGCUGCAGCUAACGCAUUAAGCAUUCCGCCUGGGGAGUACGGCCGCAAGGCUGAAACUCAAAGGAAUUGACGGGGGCCCGCACAAGCGGUGGAGCAUGUGGUUUAAUUCGAAGCUACGCGAAGAACCUUACCAGGUCUUGACAUACUAUGCAAAUCUAAGAGAUUAGACGUUCCCUUCGGGGACAUGGAUACAGGUGGUGCAUGGUUGUCGUCAGCUCGUGUCGUGAGAUGUUGGGUUAAGUCCCGCAACGAGCGCAACCCUUAUUAUCAGUUGCCAGCAUUAAGUUGGGCACUCUGGUGAGACUGCCGGUGACAAACCGGAGGAAGGUGGGGAUGACGUCAAAUCAUCAUGCCCCUUAUGACCUGGGCUACACACGUGCUACAAUGGAUGGUACAACGAGUUGCGAACUCGCGAGAGUAAGCUAAUCUCUUAAAGCCAUUCUCAGUUCGGAUUGUAGGCUGCAACUCGCCUACAUGAAGUCGGAAUCGCUAGUAAUCGCGGAUCAGCAUGCCGCGGUGAAUACGUUCCCGGGCCUUGUACACACCGCCCGUCACACCAUGAGAGUUUGUAACACCCAAAGUCGGUGGGGUAACCUUUUAGGAACCAGCCGC
This 1480-nucleotide ribosomal RNA is filed under the name Lactiplantibacillus plantarum. RNAcentral describes it as "partial 16S ribosomal RNA". It matches the Rfam family "Bacterial small subunit ribosomal RNA". The record is from RNAcentral. Lineage: Bacteria; Bacillati; Bacillota; Bacilli; Lactobacillales; Lactobacillaceae.